UACAGAGGGGGCAAGCGUUAUUCGGAAUUAUUGGGCGUAAAGGGCGCGUAGGCGGCCUGGCAAGUGGAAGGUGAAAUCCCUCGGCUUAACCGAGGAACUGCCCUCCAAACUGCUUGGCUUGAGUCCGGGAGAGGUGAGUGGAAUUCCCAGUGUAGCGGUGAAAUGCGUAGAUAUUGGGAGGAACACCGAUGGCGAAGGCAGGUCUCUGGGCCACUACUGACGCUGAGAAGCGAAAGCAUGGGGAGCGAACAGG
Molecule: ribosomal RNA, 253 nt
Filed under: uncultured bacterium
Lineage: Bacteria
Description: partial 16S ribosomal RNA
Rfam family: Bacterial small subunit ribosomal RNA
Source: RNAcentral